UGUAUGUUUCCGUAUUAUACAGUUAUAUUCAAGUUAUUUAUUUGGUAAAGUCACUUAUGGGUUUCCAUACAUAUAAAGUAGAGAGAUUGUUGUUCAUGGUCUAGUAAUUCUUAACUUUGGUUGGUUGGUUUUAAGGUUAAAGGUUGAAUUCUUUGAAGGUAGAGUAAUUUUGGGGUGUUUGAUUUAAUUUCUCCAGUGACUACUGUUGAGAGCGGUCUGAUAUAUCUAUAUUAUUAUAUUCAAGACAGACUUGGGACUAAGACCUAAAAGUCAUUCCAUAAGCAAGUAAUUAAUACAGCGAUGUCAAUGCAUAAGUUCUGAUACCAUAUAUCUGGUAAGAUCUAUGUUUUGUGUGACUAACAUAUAAAUGUAUGUGGUGUCCAAAUUGUCUAAACUUUGUCUAUACUAAUUUUGACCUUUAUAUCUAAAAGUCAUAAUUAUGCAUAUAUGUGAUAAAUUUACAUAUUGAUUAUUCUUAAUAAUAAUGGUGAAAUAUGAACAAUUGAUUUGAUUUUAAUUUGAUCUAUUUUCCAUUUCAUUAAAGUAGUAAAUGUGAUUGAAUUAUGAAAUGGAGCUAUUGUACUUGAUAUAUGUGUUUGUGUUGUCUUGUGAUGUGUAUGUUUAUGUACGUUUGUGUAUGUUUCAGAACUAUAUCUCAUUCGAUCAUCACAAUAAAAUCUGUUACGAUACA
Molecule: long non-coding RNA, 691 nt
Organism: Magallana angulata
Lineage: Eukaryota; Metazoa; Mollusca; Bivalvia; Ostreida; Ostreidae
Exons: 2
Source: RefSeq, a predicted model, not a curated record